Molecule: ribosomal RNA, 460 nt
Filed under: uncultured bacterium
Lineage: Bacteria
Description: partial 16S ribosomal RNA
Rfam family: Bacterial small subunit ribosomal RNA
Source: RNAcentral
CCUACGGGGUGCAGCAGUGAGGAAUAUUGGUCAAUGGGCGGAAGCCUGAACCAGCCAAGUCGCGUGAGGGAAUAAGGCCCUACGGGUCGUAAACCUCUUUUGCCGGGGAGCAAGGGCGGGGACGUGUCCCGGCCCGGAGAGUACCCGGAGAAAAAGCAUCGGCUAACGCCGUGCCAGCAGCCGCGGUAAUACGGAGGAUGCGAGUGUUAUCCGGAUUUAUUGGGUUUAAAGGGUGCGUAGGCGGGCUUUUAAGUCCGCGGGAAAAAUUCGGGGCUCAACCCCGUCCGGCCGUUGAAACUGGGGGCCUUGAGUGGGCGAGAAGAAGGCGGAAUGCGUUGUGUAGCGGUGAAAUGCAGAGAUAUCACGCAGAACCCCGAUUGCGAAGGCAGCCUUCCGGCGCCCUACUGACGCUGAGGCACGAAAGUGCGGGGAUCGAACAGGAUUAGAUACCCCUGUAGUC